GACGAACGCUGGCGGCGUGCUUAACACAUGCAAGUCGAACGGUGACGAGGAGCUUGCUCCUCUGAUCAGUGGCGAACGGGUGAGUAACACGUGAGCAACCUGCCCAGGCUCUGGGAUAACAGUUGGAAACAGCUGCUAAUACCGGAUACGAGACGGAGAGGCAUCUCUACCGUCUGGAAAGUUUUUCGGUCUGGGAUGGACUCGCGGCCUAUCAGCUAGUUGGUGAGGUAACGGCUCACCAAGCCGAAGACGGGUAACCGGUCUGAGAGGAUGUCCGGUCACACUGGGACUGAGACACGGCCCAGACUCCUACGGGAGGCAGCAGCAGGGAAUCUUGGGCAAUGGGCGAAAGCCUGACCCAGCGACGCCGCGUGGAGGAAGAAGUCCUCGGGCGUAACUACCUGGACUGGGGACGGAGGAAGGACGGUACCCCGACGUAGAAAGGAACGGCGUAACUACGUGCCAGCAGCCGCGGUAAGUGCUACGUAGA
This 490-nucleotide ribosomal RNA is filed under the name uncultured bacterium. Its description in RNAcentral is "bacterial SSU rRNA". It matches the Rfam family "Bacterial small subunit ribosomal RNA", at positions 28 to 531 of the family's 1533-position model. The record is from RNAcentral.